Molecule: ribosomal RNA, 396 nt
Filed under: uncultured Dothideomycetes
Lineage: Eukaryota; Fungi; Ascomycota; Dothideomycetes
Description: partial small subunit ribosomal RNA
Rfam family: Eukaryotic small subunit ribosomal RNA
Source: RNAcentral
GCUUGUCUCAAAGAUUAAGCCAUGCAUGUCUUAGUGUAAAUAACUCUUAUGAAACUGCGAAUGGCUCAUUAAAUCAGUUAUCAAAUACGUGAUGGUCGCCUACUACAUGGAUAACCGUAGUAAUUCUAGAGCUAAUACAUGCAUCAAGCCUCGACGUUUGGAGAGGCGUAUUUAUUAGAUAAAAAACCAAUGCCCUUGCGGGCUGCUUGGUGAAUCAUGAUAACGCAACGAAUCGCAUGGCCCUGCGCCGGCGAUGGUUCAUUCAAAUUUCUGCCCUAUCAACUUUCGAUUGUAGUUUAGUGGACUACAAUGGUUUCAACGGGUAACGGGGAAUUAGGGUUCGACUCCGGAGAGGGAGCCUGAGAAACGGCUACCACAUCCAAGGAAGGCAGCAGG